This 253-nucleotide ribosomal RNA is filed under the name uncultured microorganism. Its description in RNAcentral is "partial small subunit ribosomal RNA". It matches the Rfam family "Bacterial small subunit ribosomal RNA", at positions 524 to 776 of the family's 1533-position model. The record is from RNAcentral.
UACGUAGGUGGCAAGCGUUGUCCGGAUUUACUGGGCGUAAAGGGUGCGUAGGCGGAUGUUUAAGUGAGAUGUGAAAUACCCGGGCUUAACCUGGGUACUGCAUUUCAAACUGGAUAUCUAGAGUGCAGGAGAGGAGAAUGGAAUUCCUAGUGUAGCGGUGAAAUGCGUAGAGAUUAGGAAGAACACCAGUGGCGAAGGCGAUUCUCUGGACUGUAACUGACGCUGAGGCACGAAAGCGUGGGUAGCAAACAGG